This 8037-nucleotide long non-coding RNA is filed under the name Triticum aestivum (bread wheat). RNAcentral describes it as "long non-coding RNA (TAES_LNC016187)". The record is from RNAcentral. Lineage: Eukaryota; Viridiplantae; Streptophyta; Magnoliopsida; Poales; Poaceae.
UUUCCUUUUCUUUAUUUUUGUAUUGUUUUCUUUUUUUGUAUUUAGCUUAGAUACUAAAUGAUUUUAGUUCAAGUUCAAGCUUCCCACAAAAUUACGUGUCGAUAUUUUGGUGCUGUUUAAAAAGACUGAGGUUAUUUGGAAAAUGUUUGAAAAUAGGUUUAUAUUUAAAUGGUCAUAAUAAGUGCUACUUGUCCACAUUAAUAUUUCCUAGGGGGCGAUUUAGAAAUCCAUUUAAUGUUGGUUCCUACAUGUUAAAUACUUAGUGAAUAUUUUUAAAUCCUCGAACAUUUUUGUUUGACAGUUUAAAGAAAAAAAGAAUUUGACUUGUUAUUUGAAAUUUGAAUUUGACUCAGAUUUUCAUCAAGUGGCAAAUUGGCUUAAUAAAACAUGAUGACAUGGCACAUUAGGGUGAGGUUACUGUAGCUUGAUUAUCGGUGUGUUACAAAUCUCCUUCACUACAAGAAAUCUCGUCCCGAGAUUUAAGAGGUGGAAUUAAGGGGAAAGGUCUGGUUACGAAAUUAUAACGAAUCUUCUCGGUCUUGGUUGCUCUUCUCGAAGUGGUCGAUUCAUAGCAUUGAUGUCUUCAUACCUAUGCAUCAAUACAUCAUGAUGAGGUUGUCAUCCUUCCUUCAGGAACUCCAUCGUACUUACGAGAAUGAUAAGGGGUAACUUCAGAAGAACAGGUCUCUACAAGGUUGCUUAGCCGGUAGAUAACACCAGGGAAGGUGGCGGAAAGUAGAUCUCGAAUCUAAUCUUAAAAAAUAUCGAGAGCAAAGUAAGAAGGUGCAAAAAUAGAAGUUUCAAGCGCAUAGGAAAUCGUUUGUUGUCUGAAACGAAGUGUGAAAGGGGUUCAGAGCAAAGGGAAUAAGUAUUGCGUCUAAUACCAGAAUAGAUCACUAGGCAGGUGGCCCGUGAAUUGCGUAUGAAGUCAAGCGUGAGGAGUAACUUUUGAAACCGGGGGGUGUACAGAAGAGUCAGGUUUCGAUCCUGUGGAACUGUGGGUUAUGGGCCCACCAUGUGCGUAGGAAGGGCACUGACAUCUUGCACGGACAUGACAGUAAGGCAGGUUAGAGGAUAGCUUGUUAGUUAUAUUGGCAUCAACAUCAGUACCAAGGGAGAGGGAUGAAGAGAACCAUUCUCCUGCUCGUUGAACUAGGUGUACCAAUAGGCAAAGUUCUCAUCCAUCGGUGACUACCAGAAUGUCAUCAGCGAUAGUAACAGGGUCUAAUUUCAUGCCAUUACCCAUACAGCGGUGUUUGGCUAAUUGAGCAAGAAACAUUUAGCAUUUAGCACUGGGCUUCAAAUGUUCUUGUUGAAAAUCGGAGUACCACAGACAUGCUUUGAGAUAGCAUUGACAUGGUCUUCAAGCAAAAGUCAGACUUCGGAUACACAAAGGAUCCAUCAGGAUCAACUUAUAAAAUAAGUCUUACGAUUUCCUCAUGGAAGAAUCGCUAAGAUUGCUAAAAAGGAAACUAUAACAAUAGGUCCUCCGUCCAGGUGUGCUAGGCACGACAUCACCUUACCGGGUUAAAUAAAUGCCAAUGUUAUAACUUUUGGAAAAUGUUCCAACCAUCAUAUCUGACCGAGAUUCAGAUCUGAUUGGUGUCAAGACACCUCGGACUCGGCAUGCCUGAGAAGAAAAGGUCCAACACAAAUUGUCGAGAUGACAUUGUAAGAUUCUCGGGCAAUGAACUAUGGAAGCGAGUUCCGAAACAAGAGUUCAUCAUUAAACCAAGGAGAGGAUGAGAAGGUGGCUGAUGGGCUCAACGACAAUUCAUCAAGAAUUCCAAACGGAUGGAUUUCCACAAUAAUGUGAACAAGAAGAUGGCACUUGUCAAUUCAAAUGAUAUAAUGUUGUAUGCUCUAGGAAAACAUACACCAUCAAUCAUUAGUUGAAAGGUGUGCCUGAAAUAUGACCUUAGGCAGCAAGAUCAAUGUUAGAGUAAUGAUUCAAUAACCAACAGUCUAAGAACGAACUGUUGAUCGUUAACUCCAAAGCAAUAGGGUUGCUAGAAGUACAGAACUCAAACAACAUCGUUAGCAUAUUGGUAUCCUGGUUAAAAACAACACGGGGACCAAGGAAGAAUGGUGAUGGUGAGAAGUAUCAUCAAACCGAGAAUUUCUAAGAGGUGGAGCAAUCCCCACAACAUUCUCAACAUAAAAGACAGUAAUACUUCAAGGUAGAACACAACACUAGCUGGAGAGCAAGUUGUAUUCAUAAUGUGGACAAGUUCGCAAUGAAAGGAAGUCAAGGGUGUUGUCGAUGAUAAUAAAAAUCAUCGAGGGCAAGGAGGGUAUUUCUCAUCAUGAACACAGUUGACAUCUCGAGAGAAGUCAAAGUGUUGAAGGUGAUCCGACACAUUUGCGGGGAGGUUUCAAGAGGAUGCAAUCAAACGACAACGGCAACAAGCAAGGAAAUGACGAAGUGGCAAGUUAUAGGAUCAAUAUAUAAGAUGCAAGCUCGGAACCAAAGUUGCCUUUCUAGACAAGCAACAUGAUGUUGAAAGCUCGACAUAAGUCGUGCUCACACACUAAAGAAUUCGUGCACCAGAGAAGGACGAGGUAGCACAGUUAAAGAUAGCAAGACCAGGAUGCAGCCGAUAGUCUAGGAAUGACCAGAUUGGGUUCGGAAUUUCCUAGUAAAAAUACUAGGGGUAUUUGAUUUGUAGUGCCGAAUAAUUUCACUAGUCGGUGUCCUCAAUUGACAACAACCCAGAACCUGUAGAGUGUUUACGACAAGGAAAGAUAUCACUUCAACAAAGUUAGUAAGAUGUGGUGCAAUGGCAAGACAUCUCCGAGAUACCAGGGGGUAAUACUCGAAGGUAGAACAUGAUAGAAGUAGAACCGGAUUAUUGACCUAUGACAGUAGAUACUUCAACCUUGCCAAAAAUAGACGAGGCACUGGAACGAAUUCCCAUCAGAUAUAUCAGAUCAGGACAGCAUGGUCGGAACCAUAACUGUAAGGAAUCAAUUUCAAGAAUACCGAAAGAAUCAUACAGCUGGAUAAUCAUUUUGCAAGAAGCUUCCGAGACGGUCUACAUCAUUUUCAUGGGCAUGAACACAAAGUUCAAGGUCGACACCCACUUCUUUAAUGCAUAUCAUUUCAUUCACCUCUCGCUUUGAUAUAACUGUAGUGUUGGAAUUUUAUCUGGUAGAACACCGGAAGAGUAUGACUUGUGAAAAUUUUCGGGUUCUCACGGAUUAGGGGAAGGCAUAGGUUCAACCCAUGGGCAUCUUAGUAACAUAUACCACAAGUUUCAAAAGUAAAUACGCAAGAUCGAAAGCAGAUCAUGGUUGGCCAAGCAGAGGAUACAAUUUACCAAAGGCAUUAUGUAUCAGGGGAAGAACUCACAAGAUGAUUGAAUAUGAAGGACAUUGUCGGAUAAAAAUCCAACAAUGGAUCGGGCGAUCCGCAAUGAAGCUGAUGUGAGUAUCGGUACUCACUCAGAGGAAGAAAGAAUGCAGAGGCAUCAGAUUCAAGAAUCACCUGAUUAGUCUGAUGCUUAAAUAGAAAGAAAUUAUGGUUUCCAAAACGAAGGAUCAAAAGCAGAUGCUUUGAUCAAGGAUGGAUAAGUUGAAAACACUUAGUUGGACAAUAAAUAAAGGUUUGAAUUGCCGAGAACCAACUCAUGUCCGGAAUGACGUCUGAGUCGGAAAGAUAAUUUUAAAAAGGAUAACCUGUUAACGAGGACUACUAGUCAUAUGGAAUUAACCAUAAUGCAAGAAGGCGAGAAUUUCAAGAAUAACAGGCUGUAGAAGAUUUUUGAAAGAUCGAAAGGUAUUCCGAAGAAUUUUGUGAGACACAUGAACAACUGAGAAGAAUGGAUCCUCGAUAAAUGUGAGUAAAAAAUGGUAAGGGUUUUCAUGCAAAAUAGAACUACAAGACAGUAAAAACAAAGGAUUCUCGGGGCAACGGAGAAUAGUUCGAGCCAUCUUGUAACAACAAGAGCGACGAGAAAUGAUCAUGAGAAUGACAAGUGCAUGUAGAUAUCCAUAGGGAUAUAUCGGUGGCGGUGAAUUGCAAAGGCAAUGAGCACAAGGGUCUCUGGAAAAUAUCGAGGGAAAUCCUCAGAAUCUUCUGACGAAGCAAGUGAUCUUCCGGAAUAAGGGCUCUUCGGGAGAAUAGUUACGAGAACCUAGAGUUAGUAGCAAAAUCAUUUAACCCGAAUAGAAGAGAGGUUAGAGUCCUAGAGUAUAGACGAGGAGUAAAAGAUCCUAAUGCCACCCAAUGGCGACGUGGGCCCGUAAGCCACACAACCAUGUUAGUAAAAGUUUUGCAAUUGACUAGACUCGACUUCGGCCAAGGAGUGUGGAAGGGGGAUUCCUAUAGGCAGUCGGCUCUGAUACCAACUUGUGAUGCCCCUGAUUCAAUCGUACACUAAUCAUGCACACAAAUGUGUACGAUCAAGAUCAGGGACGCAUGGGAAGAUAUCACAACACAACUCUAAAAGUAAAAUAAGUCAUAGAAGCAUCAUAUUACAAGCCAGGGGCCUCGAGGGCUCGAAUACAAGUGCUCGAACAUAAACGAGUUAGCGGAAGCAACAAUGUCUGAGUACAUACAUAAGUUAAACAAGUUGCCAUAAGAUGGCUAGCACAAACCGGGAUACAGAUCGAAAGAGGCGCAGGCCUCCUGCCUGGGAUCCUCCUAAACUAUUCCUGGUCAUCGUCAGCGGCCUGCACGUAGUAGUAGGCACCUCUAGCGUAGUAGGAGUCUUCGUCGAUGGUGUCGUCUGGCUCCUAGGCUCCAACGUCUGGUUGUAGCAUCCAAGAAGAAGAGGGAAAAGUGGGAAAAGGGGGAGCAAAGCAACCGUGAGUACUCAUCCAAAGUACUCGCAAGCAAGGAUCUACACUACAUAUGCAUGGGUAUAUGUGUAAAGAGGCAAUAUCGGAGGACUGAACUGCAGAAUGCCAGAAUAAGAGGGGGAUUGCUAGUCCUAUCGAAGACUACGCUUCUAGCAGCCUCCGUCUUGCAACAUGUAGAAGAGAGUAGAUUGAAAUCCUCCAAGUAGCAUCGCAUAGCAUAAUCCUACCCGGCGAUCCUUCCCUCGUCGCCAUGUGGGAAAGCGAUCACCGGCUUGUCUCUGGAACUUGUCUGGGUGUGUUUUAUUAAGUAUCCAGUUCUAGUUGUCAUAAGGUCAAGGUACAACUCCAGGUCGUCCUUUUACCGAGGGACACGGCUAUUCGAAUAGAUCAACUUCCCUGCAGGGGUGCACCACAUAACCCAACACGCUCGAUCCCCUUUGGCCGAACACACUUUCCUGGGUCAUGCUCGGCCUCGAAAGAUCAUCACAUCGCAACCCCGCGUAGGCAUAACAGAGAAGUCAGCACGCCGCUCUAAAUCUUAUGUGCGCAGGGGUCCGGGCCCAUCUUCCAUUGCACACCUGCACGUUGCGUGCGUGGCCGGUGAGCAGACCUAGCAAACUCCAUUACAAAGGAAGUUGCAUUACGUUAUCCAACCCGGCGCGCGCCGCUUAGUCGCUCACGUCAAGAAGGCUUUGGCUGAUACCACGACGUCGAGUGCCCAUAACUGUUCCCGCGUAGUUGGUUAGUGCGUAUAGGCCAGUGGUCAGACUCAGAUCAAAUACCAAGAUCUCGUUAAGUGUUUUAUUUUGAAGUAACCGCAGACGCCGACUAGGGCCAGGCCCACCUCUCGCCUAGGUGGUAUCAACCUGCCCUGUCCCUCCGCCACAAAGUAACAAUCGGGGACCGUCGGGAAUCCAGGCCCACCUCUACCAGGAUGGAGCCACCUAUCCUUUCAGCCCCCAUAUCUGAAUCACUUGCGGGUACUCAAUGAACCGACCCGACUUUAGUCACCAUCUGUAUAGUAUGUAUAUAUGUAUAGUGUAUACCCGUGGUCACCUCCCGAGUGAUCACGGCCCGAUAGUAUAGCAAGGCAGACUAACAAGAAUUUAGGGCCAAUGAUGAUAAACUAGCAUCCUAUACUAAGCAUUUAGGAUUGCAGGUAAGGUAUCAACGAUUGUAGCAACAAUGACAAGCUAUGCAACAGAAUAUGAGUAACCGAAUAGUAACAUGCUACACUACUCUAAUGCAAGCAGUAGAGAGAAGAAUAGGCGAUAUCUGGUGAUCAAGGGGGGGGGGGGCUUGCCUGGUUGCUCUGGCAAGGAGGGGUCGUCAACUCCGUAGUCGUACUGGGUAGGAGCGGCAUCGGUCUCGUAGUCUACCGGAGAGAAGAGGGGGUGAAACAAUAAAUAUAAUGCAAACAUAAGCAUGACAUAGCAAGACAUGACAAUGAGCAGUGCUAGGUGUGCCCUAAUGCGGUAGUAGGUGAUACCGGCAAAAGGGAGAAACAUCCGGGAAAGUAUCCCCAGUGUUUCGCCUUUCCAAACAGAUGAACCGGAGGUGAAAUGUUGCACGUUCUCUAUGCUAGGGAUGUGUGGUGGACGAACAAGUUGUGUAUUCGGAUUCGUCUCGUCGUUGUGAGCGACUUUCAUGUACAAAGUUUUUCCAUCCAAGUUACGAAUUAUUUAAUAUUAAUUUUCAAAGUUUUAAUCAAUUUUCUAAAAAUUGUUUAAAUAAUUUAAUUCAAAAUAUUUGAAAAGUAAUUUUCUAGGUGUACUCAAAAAGGUACCCAGUAGAACAGCACAGAGGCUGACCGGUGGGGCCAUGGUCAACUGUCCAGUCAACGUUUUACAGGACCGUUGACUCGUCAAACCGUGAACUCUGUACNNNNNNNNNNNNNNNNNNNNNNNNNNNNNNNNNNNNNNNNNNNNNNNNNNNNNNNNNNNNNNNNNNNNNNNNNNNNNNNNNNNNNNNNNNNNNNNNNNNNNNNUCUCUUUGGUAAUUUUAACACUGAUUUAACAUUUACACUAAGCAGCGGACCCCAUCUGUCAUUGAGUGAUCUAUUUAUCAAACUUUUGAUUAACCCCAGUGAUGUUGAUUAGGAUGGUGGGGUUCGAUUUCAGUGGGAGUUAGCGGCUGGAUUAGUGCUUACCUAAAUAGUUAAUGACCCGGGCCCACGCGUCAUAGACACUAGCCAGAUUCUAACGCAUGCGCGUGCUGGUGCAUGCCAGCGACCAGCAGAGGCAACGGUGGCCCACCAGAGACGCUCUCCGGCGACCAAACGGGCGGUGGGCGCCACCUACAUGAGGUGCACGACACGCCGAGGGGGGCAGGGUGCGGCCCGGACAGGAGCAACGUCGGCGAGGCGCGGGCAUGCCAGGGCGGCCGGGUGCAGCCAGUGCGAGAUUGGGUGAGGCCAGCCUCGAGCGACGACGGGUGUGCAGCAGCAGAGGGAGGCGAGGCCAUGCGCGGGUAAGGUGGUACGCGGAGCGGCGCGCGAGGGUCAGGCGGUGACCGCGGCGAGGAGAAAGAAGAGGAGGGAUGCGCUCACAGCCGUUGACGGGCAGUGAGGGCGGCAAGGUGUGGAGGCGACCCGCGAGGAGGAGGUCGGGGAGGUUCCGACAAUGAUGACGGCGGCGGCCGGUGGUGCUGCAGGCGCGACGCGAGGAUGGCGAAGAAGCUGCGGGCCGGAGGUGGUAGUCGUCGGGCGCGGGUGUGCUCUCCGCGGGGGGAGCAGCGGCGAACGUAGCUGGGACAGUGAGGCGUCGGCUUGGGAAGGGCUCCGGUGAUGGGGAGGUCGGCGAUGGUGAUGGGGCGCCGGGGCGAGUCGGCGGGGUCGGGGCGCGCGGUUGCGCGAUCCAGAAGGGGGGGAAGAGGUCAUGGGGAGUCGUGGGGGAAGUGGGGAGGAGAACGCUAGGGUUCGGUCCGGUGGGAGGGGAUAAGGUGAAUGGAUGGGCUGGACAGCUGAGGGAGUGGCCGACUGGGCCGGCCUGUUGGGUCGGUUGGCCCAAGGGGGGGUAUUUUCCUUUUCUUUAUUUUUGUAUUGUUUUCUUUUGUUGUAUUUAGCUUAGAUACUAAUUGAUUUUAGUUCAAGUUGAAACUUCCCACAAAAUUACGUGUCGAUAUUUUGCUGCUGUUUAAAAAGAUUGAGAUUAUUUGGAAAAUGUUUGAAAAUAGGUUUAUAUUUAAAUGGUCAUAAUAAGUGCUGCUUGUCCACAUUAAUAUUUCCUAGGGGGC